GAUGAACGCUAGCUACAGGCUUAACACAUGCAAGUCGCGGGGCAGCAUGGGGGUUGCUUGCAAUCCCCGAUGGCGACCGGCGCACGGGUGAGUAACGCGUAUCCAACCUGCCCUUCACCACGGGAUAACCCGGCGAAAGUCGGACUAAUACCGUAUGUUGUCCAUUGACGGCAUCCGAUUUGGACGAAAGGCUUGGCGGUGAGGGACGGGGAUGCGUCCGAUUAGCCAGACGGCGGGGUAACGGCCCACCGUGGCUACGAUCGGUAGGGGUUCUGAGAGGAAGGUCCCCCACACUGGAACUGAGACACGGUCCAGACUCCUACGGGAGGCAGCAGUGAGGAAUAUUGGUCAAUGGGCGUAAGCCUGAACCAGCCAAGUAGCGUGCAGGAUGACGGCCCUAUGGGUUGUAAACUGCUUUUAUGCGGGGAUAAAGUGGCCCACGUGUGGGCUUUUGCAGGUACCGCAUGAAUAAGGACCGGCUAAUUCCGUG
Molecule: ribosomal RNA, 490 nt
Filed under: uncultured bacterium
Lineage: Bacteria
Description: partial 16S ribosomal RNA
Rfam family: Bacterial small subunit ribosomal RNA
Source: RNAcentral